UAAAACACAACUUGCCUUUCUAUGACAGCC
This 30-nucleotide non-coding RNA is filed under the name Mus musculus (house mouse). Lineage: Eukaryota; Metazoa; Chordata; Mammalia; Rodentia; Muridae. The record is from RNAcentral.